AAGUCGUAACAAGGUUUCCGUAGGUGAACCUGCGGAAGGAUCAUUAUCGAGUUUUGAAAGCGAAGGUCUGUUGCUGGCGCGGAAACGCGCACAUGUGCACGGCUUUCGUACUCAAAUCCAAACUCUCAACCCCCUGUGCACCUUAACAGUUGAAGUUUAGUAGUCUCUCUCCGAAGGGGCCAAGUACGAUUCACUAGUGAGUCGGAAAAGCUUAGAGAGGAAGAGGCGAACGCUUUGGCUAUUAUGUUACAAAAACACCUUUUUUUGUUGUAAUGUGAAUGUAAUGCUCCUUGUGGGCGAUAAUGAAAUACAACUUUCAACAACGGAUCUCUUGGCUCUC
RNAcentral lists this unclassified non-coding RNA (340 nucleotides) under air metagenome. RNAcentral describes it as "partial contains small subunit ribosomal RNA, internal transcribed spacer 1, and 5.8S ribosomal RNA". The stretch from base 1 to 46 matches the Rfam family "Eukaryotic small subunit ribosomal RNA", at positions 1786 to 1831 of the family's 1831-position model. The record is from RNAcentral.